This 635-nucleotide unclassified non-coding RNA is filed under the name Acidithiobacillus thiooxidans. Its description in RNAcentral is "partial contains 16S ribosomal RNA, 16S-23S ribosomal RNA intergenic spacer, and 23S ribosomal RNA". The stretch from base 87 to 161 matches the Rfam family "tRNA". The record is from RNAcentral. Lineage: Bacteria; Pseudomonadati; Pseudomonadota; Acidithiobacillia; Acidithiobacillales; Acidithiobacillaceae.
UAGCCCGUGACGAACUGCCGGCUUGGACACCUUCCUUUCAAAGAAAUGGGUCCUAAGACCCCACACACGCCACUCGGUAAAGAAUCGGGCCUAUAGCUCAGCUUGGCUAGAGCACACGACUGAUAAUCGUGAGGUCAGUGGUUCGAGUCCACUUGGGCCCACCAAAUGGGGCUGUAGCUCAGCUGGGAGAGCACCUGCUUUGCAAGCAGGGGGUCACCGGUUCGAUCCCGGUCAGCUCCACCAAAGGGAAGAGGCCCGCGCGCAGCGGGUCGGACGCUGGGGUGGAGAAGUAGGCGGCAGGAAGCGGGUAACAGGAAGUAGAGAGUAGGAAAGUAAUUAAAGAGUCCGUAGUAGUGAGUUUCUGAAUAAAGAAGCUGUAGUACUACCGAUUCGCAGUAUGGAAGCGGUAUUGUUCUUUGACAGUUGAGGAAGGGAAGGCCAUGUUUGUCAUCUUGCCGAUGGCAGACCUCCAGGUGGAUGCUUGGGGAUAUAUGGUCAAGUGAAUAAGGGGCAUACGGUGGGAUGCCUUGGCAGAGACAGGCGAUGAAGGACGUGGAUACCUGCGAAAAGCCUCGGGGAGCUGGGUAAACAAGCUUUGAUCCGGGGAUAUCCGAUGCCCCACCCCCCCCCACCAA